RNAcentral lists this ribosomal RNA (455 nucleotides) under uncultured bacterium. RNAcentral describes it as "bacterial SSU rRNA". It matches the Rfam family "Bacterial small subunit ribosomal RNA", at positions 8 to 507 of the family's 1533-position model. The record is from RNAcentral.
AGAGUUUGAUCAUGGCUCAGAACGAACGCUGGCGGCAGGCUUAACACAUGCAAGUCGAACGGGCGUAGCAAUACGUCAGUGGCAGACGGGUGAGUAACACGUGGGAACCUUCCUAGGGGUACGGAACAACUCAGGGAAACUUGAGCUAAUACCGUAUACGUCCGUGAGGAGAAAGAUUUAUCGCCCUUAGACGGGCCCGCGUCAGAUUAGCUAGUUGGUGGGGUAACGGCCUACCAAGGCGACGAUCCGUAGCUGAUCUGAGAGGAUGAUCAGCCACACUGGGACUGAGACACGGCCCAGACUCCUACGGGAGGCAGCAGUGGGGAAUCUUGGACAAUGGGCGCAAGCCUGAUCCAGCCAUGCCGCGUGAGUGAAGAAGGCCUUCGGGUUGUAAAGCUCUUUUGUCAGGGACGAUAAUGACGGUACCUGAAGAAUAAGCCCCGGCAAACUUCGUG